This 402-nucleotide ribosomal RNA is filed under the name uncultured bacterium. RNAcentral's name for it is "bacterial SSU rRNA". It matches the Rfam family "Bacterial small subunit ribosomal RNA", at positions 355 to 774 of the family's 1533-position model. The record is from RNAcentral.
UGGGGAAUAUUGGACAAUGGGCGCAAGCCUGAUCCAGCCAUGCCGCGUGAGUGAUGAAGGCCCUAGGGUUGUAAAGCUCUUUCAACGGUGAAGAUAAUGACGGUAACCGUAGAAGGAGCCCCGGCUAACUUCGUGCCAGCAGCCGCGGUAAUACGAAGGGGGCUAGCGUUGUUCGGAAUUACUGGGCGUAAAGCGCACGUAGGCGGAUCGGUCAGUUAGGGGUGAAAUCCCAGGGCUCAACCCUGGAACUGCCUUUAAUACUGCCGAUCUGGAGUCCGGAAGAGGUGAGUGGAAUUCCGAGUGUAGAGGUGAAAUUCGUAGAUAUUCGGAGGAACACCAGUGGCGAAGGCGGCUCACUGGUCCGGUACUGACGCUGAGGCACGAAAGCGUGGGGAGCAAACA